This 523-nucleotide ribosomal RNA is filed under the name fungal endophyte. RNAcentral describes it as "eukaryotic LSU rRNA". The stretch from base 181 to 334 matches the Rfam family "5.8S ribosomal RNA". Lineage: Eukaryota; Fungi. The record is from RNAcentral.
AGCGGAGGGAUCAUUACUGAGUUUUCGAACUCCCAAACCUUUGUGAACAUACCAUUGUUGCUUCGGCGGGAUCGUCCCGGGCGCGCCUCUUGGGGCGUGUUCCGGAUCCAGGCGCCCGCCGAGGGUAUCAAACUCUUGUUUUUAUAGUGGACUUCUGAGUAUCAUGAGAAAAUAAAUUAAAACUUUCAGCAACGGAUCUCUUGGCUCUGGCAUCGAUGAAGAACGCAGCGAAAUGCGAUAAGUAAUGUGAAUUGCAGAAUUCAGUGAAUCAUCGAAUCUUUGAACGCACAUUGCGCCCGCCAGUAUUCUGGCGGGCAUGCCUGUCCGAGCGUCAUUUCAACCCUCAGAACCCGUUCGCGGGAUCUGGUGUUGGGGAUCGGCCGUCCCUCGCGGCGGCCGGCCCCGAAAUGCAGUGGCGGCUCUACCGCGAACUCCUCUGUGUAGUAGUGAUACCUCGCAGCUUGGAUAGUGGUAUGGCCUCGCCGUAAAACCCCCAACUUUUUCAAGGUUGACCUCGGAUCAG